This 31-nucleotide small RNA is filed under the name Bombyx mori (domestic silkworm). RNAcentral describes it as "ovarian small RNA-22649". Lineage: Eukaryota; Metazoa; Arthropoda; Insecta; Lepidoptera; Bombycidae. The record is from RNAcentral.
UAGGACCUCUUGUGAGUCCGUGCGGGUAUAA